This 253-nucleotide ribosomal RNA is filed under the name uncultured bacterium. Its description in RNAcentral is "partial 16S ribosomal RNA". It matches the Rfam family "Bacterial small subunit ribosomal RNA", at positions 524 to 776 of the family's 1533-position model. The record is from RNAcentral.
UACGAAGGGGGCUAGCGUUGCUCGGAAUUACUGGGCGUAAAGGGCGCGUAGGCGGACAGUUUAGUCAGAGGUGAAAGCCCAGGGCUCAACCUUGGAAUUGCCUUUGAUACUGGCUGUCUUGAGUUCGGGAGAGGUGAGUGGAAUGCCGAGUGUAGAGGUGAAAUUCGUAGAUAUUAGGAAGAACACCGGUGGCGAAGGCGGCCCACUGGAUCGGUACUGACGCUGAGGUGCGAAAGCGUGGGGAGCAAACAGG